GACGAACGCUGGCGGCGUGCUUAACACAUGCAAGUCGAGCGGUAAGGCCCUUUCGGGGGUACACGAGCGGCGAACGGGUGAGUAACACGUGGGUGACCUGCCCUUAGCUCUGGGAUAAGCCUGGGAAACUGGGUCUAAUACCGGAUAUGACUCCAUAACGCAUGUUGUGGGGUGGAAAGCCUUGUGCGGCUAGGGAUGGGCCCGCGGCCUAUCAGCUUGUUGGUGGGGUGAUGGCCACCAAGGCGACGACGGGUAGCCGGCCUGAGAGGGCGACCGGCCACACUGGGACUGAGACACGGCCCAGACUCCUACGGGAGGCAGCAGUGGGGAAUCUUGCGCAAUGGGCGAAAGCCUGACGCAGCGACG
RNAcentral lists this ribosomal RNA (366 nucleotides) under uncultured bacterium. RNAcentral describes it as "bacterial SSU rRNA". It matches the Rfam family "Bacterial small subunit ribosomal RNA", at positions 28 to 396 of the family's 1533-position model. The record is from RNAcentral.